UACGUAGGGCGCAAGCGUUGUCCGGAAUUAUUGGGCGUAAAGAGCUCGUAGGCGGUCUGUUACGUCCGCUGUGAAAACCCAGGGCUUAACCCUGGGCUUGCAGUGGAUACGGGCAGACUAGAGGCAGGUAGGGGAGAAUGGAAUUCCCGGUGUAGCGGUGAAAUGCGCAGAUAUCGGGAGGAACACCGGUGGCGAAGGCGGUUCUCUGGGCCUGACCUGACGCUGAGGAGCGAAAGCGUGGGGAGCGAGCAGG
RNAcentral lists this ribosomal RNA (253 nucleotides) under uncultured bacterium. RNAcentral describes it as "partial 16S ribosomal RNA". It matches the Rfam family "Bacterial small subunit ribosomal RNA", at positions 524 to 776 of the family's 1533-position model. The record is from RNAcentral.